AUGGCCCCCCCCCCCACCGCUCCAGCCACACGUGUGACUCCGCUGCUGGCCACGUGCCGCAGUGAGCGGCCACUGAAAGAAACGCCUCGUGAGUGUGGGGCUCGGCUGCCACUCCUCCAGACUUCCAAAUCCACCACCGGAGCCCCAAUGGCUGCCGCCGGGGACCUCAAGUCGGAGUACCCCCAGGUCCUGCUCAACCGCCACCGCGAACACCGAGACAUGGAGUCGUACCCAAGGAAAAAGGUGGAGAACUUCGAGGAGAAGCCAGUUGAAGAAAAUUUCUACUUGUUUACUGAGUGCACAAUGCACACUACUUGCAUCUUCGCAGUUGAAAUUGAGAUCAGUGAAAACCAACUACAUUUGAGCAGCCCAAAAGAAAUUAGCUGCUCCGACUACAGACCGAGUGUUCAACAUGCAGCUGCUUACAUACACUGA
This 435-nucleotide ribosomal RNA is filed under the name Triticum aestivum (bread wheat). RNAcentral's name for it is "partial small subunit ribosomal RNA". Lineage: Eukaryota; Viridiplantae; Streptophyta; Magnoliopsida; Poales; Poaceae. The record is from RNAcentral.